UGCUUUCUUGUGUAUUUUCAGAUGGCGAG
This 29-nucleotide non-coding RNA is filed under the name Mus musculus (house mouse). The record is from RNAcentral. Lineage: Eukaryota; Metazoa; Chordata; Mammalia; Rodentia; Muridae.